This 808-nucleotide ribosomal RNA is filed under the name uncultured bacterium. RNAcentral's name for it is "bacterial SSU rRNA". It matches the Rfam family "Bacterial small subunit ribosomal RNA", at positions 79 to 878 of the family's 1533-position model. The record is from RNAcentral.
CUUGCUUCUCUUGAGAGCGGCGGACGGGUGAGUAAUGCCUAGGAAUCUGCCUGGUAGUGGGGGAUAACGUCCGGAAACGGACGCUAAUACCGCAUACGUCCUACGGGAGAAAGCAGGGGACCUUCGGGCCUUGCGCUAUCAGAUGAGCCUAGGUCGGAUUAGCUAGUUGGUGGGGUAAUGGCUCACCAAGGCGACGAUCCGUAACUGGUCUGAGAGGAUGAUCAGUCACACUGGAACUGAGACACGGUCCAGACUCCUACGGGAGGCAGCAGUGGGGAAUAUUGGACAAUGGGCGAAAGCCUGAUCCAGCCAUGCCGCGUGUGUGAAGAAGGUCUUCGGAUUGUAAAGCACUUUAAGUUGGGAGGAAGGGCAGUAAAUUAAUACUUUGCUGUUUUGACGUUACCGACAGAAUAAGCACCGGCUAACUCUGUGCCAGCAGCCGCGGUAAUACAGAGGGUGCAAGCGUUAAUCGGAAUUACUGGGCGUAAAGCGCGCGUAGGUGGUUCGUUAAGUUGGAUGUGAAAUCCCCGGGCUCAACCUGGGAACUGCAUUCAAAACUGACGAGCUAGAGUAUGGUAGAGGGUGGUGGAAUUUCCUGUGUAGCGGUGAAAUGCGUAGAUAUAGGAAGGAACACCAGUGGCGAAAGCGACCACCCUGGACUGAUACUGACACUGAGGUGCGAAAGCGUGGGGGAGCAAACAGGAUUAGAUACCCUGGUAUUCCACGCCGUAAACGAUGUCAAACUAGCCGUUGGGGAGCCUUGAGCUCUUAGUGGCGCACCUAACGCAUUUAAGUUGACCGCCUGGGG